Molecule: ribosomal RNA, 273 nt
Filed under: Prevotella sp.
Lineage: Bacteria; Pseudomonadati; Bacteroidota; Bacteroidia; Bacteroidales; Prevotellaceae
Description: partial 23S ribosomal RNA
Rfam family: Bacterial large subunit ribosomal RNA
Source: RNAcentral
CUAUCUAUCGUGGGCGUUGGAGUUUUGAGUGGUGCCGUCACUAGUACGAGAGGACCGUGUUGGACAGACCUCCGGUUUACCAGUUGUGCCGCCAGGUGCACCGCUGGGUAUCUGAGUCUGGAUUGGAUAAGCGCUGAAAGCAUCUAAGUGCGAAGCCAGCCGCAAGAUGAGAACUCCUCAUAAGGGUCGUCAUAGACGAUGACGUUGAUAGGGUGUAGGUGUAAAGACGGUGACGUCAAAGCCGAGCACUACUAAUUGCCCGAAACUUUCUUC